GAAGGGGGCUAGCGUUGCUCGGAAUCACUGGGGCGGUAAAGGGGCGCGUAGGCGGCUGAUUUAGUCGAGGGUGAAAGCCUGUGGCUCAACCACAGAAUUGCCUUCGAUACUGGUUGGCUUGAGACCGGAAGAGGACAGCGGAACUGCGAGUGUAGAGGUGAAAUUCGUAGAUAUUCGCAAGAACACCAGUGGCGAAGGCGGCUGUCUGGUCCGGUUCUGACGCUGAGGCGCGAAAGCGUGGGGAGCAAACAGGAUUAGAUACCCUGGUAGUCCACGCUGUAAACGAUGAAUGCUAGCCGUUGGUCUGCAUGCAGGUCAGUGGCGCCGCUAACGCAUUAAGCAUUCCGCCUGGGGAGUACGGUCGCAAGAUUA
RNAcentral lists this ribosomal RNA (372 nucleotides) under uncultured organism. Its description in RNAcentral is "partial 16S ribosomal RNA". It matches the Rfam family "Bacterial small subunit ribosomal RNA", at positions 527 to 896 of the family's 1533-position model. The record is from RNAcentral.